This 253-nucleotide ribosomal RNA is filed under the name uncultured bacterium. RNAcentral describes it as "partial 16S ribosomal RNA". It matches the Rfam family "Bacterial small subunit ribosomal RNA", at positions 524 to 776 of the family's 1533-position model. The record is from RNAcentral.
UACGGAGGGUGCGAGCGUUGUCCGGAAUCACUGGGCGUAAAGGGCGCGUAGGCGGCGCGGGUAGUCGUCGGUGAAAGCUCAGGGCUCAACCCUGAGUCGGCCGGUGAUACUCCCGUGCUCGAGCACUGUAGAGGCAGGUGGAAUUCCGGGUGUAGCGGUGGAAUGCGUAGAGAUCCGGAAGAACACCGGUGGCGAAGGCGGCCUGCUGGGCAGUAGCUGACGCUGAUGCGCGAAAGCGUGGGGAGCAAACAGG